Molecule: long non-coding RNA, 430 nt
Organism: Apis mellifera (honey bee)
Lineage: Eukaryota; Metazoa; Arthropoda; Insecta; Hymenoptera; Apidae
Exons: 3
Source: RefSeq, a predicted model, not a curated record
GUGGAGGAGGUAAAACAGGAUUUCCAGUCACAGCUGCUUCUGGAUUAUCAUGUCUAUGUUGUUCUACUAGACAUCGAACAUCAUGAAUUAAGGCAACAGGAUCACGAAUUAGCUCAGGCACAUUCUUCUUAGUAGAAGUAGCUGCUUCGCGCGUCAAUGGGUGUUCCAAACCUUCGGAUACGAUUUGUAAUUCUUCUUUUUCGACGCAUCUGUACGAUUUGAUGAUUUUUUUUUAACAGGAAAAGGAAGGAUGAUAGAAGGAAAGGAAAUAGAGGAAAAUAGAUGGAAUCAAAGGACUUACAAGGCACAAGGUUGAGUGGGAGCAAUAUAUUCAAUAGGAGGCACUUUCAAUCUAGGUCUUCUUUCUUCGUCAAUUCGCAAUUGUUGCGUUUUCGUAGCUCUAUCCAGCCAAUAUACCUUGUGGAACAUU